GUCCACGCCGUAAACGAUGUCAACUAGCCGUUGGGAGCCUUGAGCUCUUAGUGGCGCAGCUAACGCAUUAAGUUGACCGCCUGGGGAGUACGGCCGCAAGGUUAAAACUCAAAUGAAUUGACGGGGGCCCGCACAAGCGGUGGAGCAUGUGGUUUAAUUCGAAGCAACGCGAAGAACCUUACCAGGCCUUGACAUCCAAUGAACUUUCCAGAGAUGGAUUGGUGCCUUCGGGAACAUUGAGACAGGUGCUGCAUGGCUGUCGU
Molecule: ribosomal RNA, 263 nt
Filed under: uncultured bacterium
Lineage: Bacteria
Description: partial 16S ribosomal RNA
Rfam family: Bacterial small subunit ribosomal RNA
Source: RNAcentral